GUUUGGCCCAAAAGUGACUUAAUCCAAAUAUUUUGCCCUAACACGAUUACACGAGUCGUUUUCUGAUUCUCCUACAUCCUCACAAAGAUGCAAACCGAGCACUCUUCUCUCGUUUCUCAGCUGCUCCCUUAUUGUGAUUUAUUAUGUUAAGUCCCAAAUAAUGUCUUCUAAGAGAGCCUCAUCAGUUACAGUUAGUUGUCUUUUGAAGUUGUGCAAAGGAUGUUGCUCACACAAAGGCCUUAGUACAUUGAGUGCUGUUAGUACUGCUGCUGAAAGGACAGAUUUACAGUUUUCUGGUGGUUAUCAAAAUGAUGAUUCUUCAGGUUACCAGCAAAAUCGUGUUGGGUUUUAUCUGGAAAGCCAAAAUAAGGCUGAUUCUUAUGAGCUUUUUGAACAAGCAAAGACCUGAUUAUGUUUCCCAAGCAAAUGCAGGGCAAAAUUCUUAUGGAGCUGGUCAGAUUGCAGAUGGAGGUCAUAUAAAUGUGACCCGAAAUGUUCACAAUAAUUUGGUGGGUCACAAUGGAAGUGUCAAUGGGUACUUUGGUCAAGGCGACAUGAAAAUGCAACAAAAAGUUGGGGCAGGUGUUGAUAAUGCAUGGGGCUCUGGGAUGCAUGCAAAUCCAUUUGUUGAGAAACAUGAUUGGACACAGGAACCUGGACAAGGGAUGCAGUCUCCCAAUGCAUAUAGUUCACCUGGGCCUUUAGAGUCACAGGGAAAUCUUAGAGGGGACCUAAAUCAAAACAUUGAUCAUUUUCAGCAGCCACAAAAUGUUCAUUACAAAGGGAGUCAUGAAAUGCGUCCACAGUACCCAGGUUAUGGACAGUCUCAGCAGAGUCUAAAAGAUGGUCAAUAUUUGCCAAAUUUGAAUACUGCACAAAGAUCAGUGGUUGGCUCUCAUCUAUCAAGUAAUGCAAAUCCUGAUGGCGAAUCAGCCAAAGCAUCUAAUGAUAGUCCAUAUAGAGGUACACUUGAGGAAUUAGAUAAUUUCUGCAUUGAGGGUAACGUGAAGGAAGCAGUUGAAGUUUUGGAAUUGCUGGAAAAACUAGAUAUUCCUGUGGAUUUGCCCCGAUAUUUGCAAUUAAUGCACCAAUGUGGGGAGAAUAAGUCUCUUGAAGAGGCAAAAAAUGUACACAGGCAUGCUUUACAACAUCUGUCACCUCUCCAAGUCAGCACAUAUAAUAGAAUUUUGGAGAUGUAUUUAGAAUGUGGUUCUGUAGAUGAUGCUCUCAACAUUUUCAACAAUAUGCCAGAGCGCAAUUUGACUACUUGGGAUACUAUGAUAACACAGCUUGCUAAGAAUGGGUUUGCCGAAGAUUCAAUUGAUCUAUUUACUCAAUUCAAAAACUUGGGACUGAAACCUGAUGGGCAGAUGUUCAUUGGAGUUCUAUUUGCAUGUGGUAUGCUGGGAGAUAUUGACGAGGGAAUGCAGCACUUUGAAUCCAUGAACAAGGAUUACGGCAUUGUACCAUCUAUGACUCAUUUUGUCAGUGUAGUAGACAUGAUUGGCAGCAUUGGGCAUCUGGAUGAAGCCUUUGAGUUCAUUGAAAAGAUGCCAAUGAAGCCAAGUGCUGAUAUAUGGGAGACUUUGAUGAAUCUCUGUAGAGUUCAUGGGAACACUGGGCUGGGGGAUUGUUGUGCUGAACUAGUUGAGCAGCUAGAUUCUUCUUGUUUAAAUGAGCAAUCAAAGGCUGGUCUUGUACCUGUAAAAGCCUCAGAUUUGACAAAAGAGAAAGAAAAAAGGAUUUUGACAAACAAAAAUCUUCUUGAAGUAAGGAGUCGAGUCCGUGAAUAUCGAGCAGGAGAUACUUUUCAUCCUGAAAGUGAUAAGAUAUAUGCCCUGCUUAGAGGUUUAAAGUCACAAAUGAAAGAAGCUGGCUAUGUUCCAGAGACAAAAUUUGUGUUGCAUGACAUAGAUCAGGAAGGCAAAGAAGAAGCUCUUCUUGCCCACAGCGAGAGACUUGCUAUUGCUUAUGGUCUCCUUAACAGCCCUGCUCGCGCUCCGAUGAGGGUAAUUAAGAACCUCCGUGUUUGUGGUGAUUGCCAUACAGCACUGAAGAUUAUUUCUAAGCUUGUAGGCAGAGAACUCAUUAUUCGAGAUGCGAAAAGGUUCCACCAUUUUAACGAUGGACUAUGCUCCUGCAGGGAUUAUUGGUGAACAUGAACUUAGGACACUCUGUAUCUUGGGGAAAAUGAAAGAAUAUAAAUCCUUGAAUCCCUUGUGCGAAACACUUGUCAAAGGGACUGUUCAAUUGGCCAUAGGACAUGGAAUAAUCAUUCAGCCUCGUCCUGACCCAUCAUUUGAAUUCCGGGCAAAUGCUUGAUAACUCCAUAUUGUUUUACCUGGGGUGAAACAAACCUUUCUGGUGUAAUAUACUUACAAAGUCUUGUUUGAGGGCAUUGAAAGCUUUGUGCAAUAUUUGCGGCGUUGAGCAUAUUAUCUGUUUGCCAUUUUACAACAUGAAUAUGAUGAUGUAUCCUGAUUCCUGACUACCAGAUGGAUUGAAUAGAAUGGCUGUUGGUAAGUAACCCCUCAAGCCAGCAGAUAGGGAAAUUGUUCAUAUAUCUCCCGGUCAUUAAAUUAAAAUUGAUCUUUAUAUCCACGAGGAGAUUGGAAUUUUGUUUAACCAGGCUCUUCCACACUAAUAAAUCAAGCAGUGGGACGUGCAUUCAGGUUGCAGAGGCAUUAUUCAUUGAGUAGUUUUAUAUAAUUGGUUGUUGUAGCUUCCAUAUAAGAUAUAAAUUAUUAUUGUCACUCCAGGCAAGAGAAAAGCUUAUGUAGUUGAUAGACAACAUUUUUUUUGAAAGGCAGUUCAUAGACAACAUUGACAUUCAAUGGUAUAAUUUCAGACAACUUUUUUGGAUGUCAGAACCUAGUCAUUUACCACAAUCUUAAAAUCCAAAUCAUCUGAGUUAUAGUCUAAACUUGUUUGCCUUUCA
Molecule: RNA transcript, 2938 nt
Organism: Glycine soja
Lineage: Eukaryota; Viridiplantae; Streptophyta; Magnoliopsida; Fabales; Fabaceae
Gene name: pentatricopeptide repeat-containing protein At4g32450, mitochondrial-like
Exons: 4
Source: RefSeq, a predicted model, not a curated record